This 72-nucleotide transfer RNA is filed under the name Cheracebus torquatus (collared titi). Its description in RNAcentral is "tRNA-Gln". It matches the Rfam family "tRNA". From Rfam's summary of the family: Transfer RNA (tRNA) molecules are approximately 80 nucleotides in length. Their secondary structure includes four short double-helical elements and three loops (D, anti-codon, and T loops). The record is from RNAcentral. Lineage: Eukaryota; Metazoa; Chordata; Mammalia; Primates; Pitheciidae. RNAcentral also lists the same sequence under 3 other names.
UAGAAUAUGGUGUAAUAGGUAGCACGGAGAGUUUUGAGUUCUUAGGUAUAGGUUCGAUUCCUGUGAUUCUAG